Molecule: small nuclear RNA, 82 nt
Filed under: Felis catus (domestic cat)
Lineage: Eukaryota; Metazoa; Chordata; Mammalia; Carnivora; Felidae
Description: U4 spliceosomal RNA
Rfam family: U4 spliceosomal RNA
About the family: U4 small nuclear RNA (U4 snRNA) is a component of the major U2-dependent spliceosome. The structure of U4 snRNA from yeast and human has been reported.
Source: Rfam by way of RNAcentral
AGCUUUGCGCAGUGGCAGUAUCGUAGCCAAUGAGGUUUAUCCGAGGUGCGAUUAUUGCUAAUUGAAAGUUGCUCCAUAUGUA